RNAcentral lists this ribosomal RNA (71 nucleotides) under Lactococcus garvieae. RNAcentral describes it as "16S rRNA. Bacterial SSU". It matches the Rfam family "Bacterial small subunit ribosomal RNA", at positions 1 to 69 of the family's 1533-position model. The record is from RNAcentral. Lineage: Bacteria; Bacillati; Bacillota; Bacilli; Lactobacillales; Streptococcaceae.
AUUUAAAUGAGAGUUUGAUCCUGGCUCAGGACGAACGCUGGCGGCGUGCCUAAUACAUGCAAGUCGAGCGA